Long non-coding RNA from Esox lucius (northern pike), 1416 nucleotides. RefSeq lists it as uncharacterized. The transcript is spliced from 3 exons. Lineage: Eukaryota; Metazoa; Chordata; Actinopteri; Esociformes; Esocidae. The record is from RefSeq and is a predicted model, not a curated record.
CAUAGUGUCUAACAAAGACACCUAAAGAAGACGUCAUUGACCGGAACACCCAUUACACAUCCUGCUUUUAGGUUUCUAAGAGGAACUGAGAGGUAGAUGUUGAGCAUAUGGCGGAGAAACUGAACUGAAAAUAUGAAUUUGUUUGUUUGUUUACAAGGUUAGUGGUCAUAUGGUAUGGAAUCCCUUUCUGAGGGCGCCAGUUAACAGUGGCAGAGACCAACUCAGGUUAUUGCAGCCUUGCAGGGUUUUUACCAGAGCGUAAAUUCUCAAAAUGGUCACUAGAUGGCCUCAAUUUCUGUAAAACCAUCCACUGCCAAAGAGCCUACAUCCCAGGUCAUUCCUCCAGGGUCAUAGUGUGAGUAAAACAUUAAAAACCAACAUUUAUAACUGUCACUGUAACUGAAAUUUAUAUUUUGUCAGAAACCAAGAGAAAUGUGUUAGUUUUAUAAUUUUAAAGCUUAAAAUUAUUUGCUUUUUUGCUAAUCAAUGUGUCCAAAGUUGAUUUGGUUUAUUGAUUUCCUCGACACUCUAUGGAAAAGACCCUUCAUGUUUUGUCAGCAACACAUGACAGCUGAGGGUCCCCCAGUCAAAUGGGUGGGGGAGGGGCUGGUUUGCACUGAGAUCUGACAGGAUAUGAUCAGCGGGCGUAAUGUGGUUAUAUCAGAUUUGUGUACAUCUCUGGUCUCAUUUCGGCCUUCCCCAUUAUGUCCAACCAGACAUGAGUUUCCUUGUGUCAUCCGAACCCCUGACCACAGUUGGCAAUGACACACUCAUACAGACACAGCAGGAAGGCUUAACACUUGGUCUGUAUGCCCUCUCAUUCACAUGCCCUUCACAUAUCAGUCUCUGAGAGACCUGACAGCUGAAUUCAAAAGUCUGACGGAUAUAAUCUGUCUCUCUGCUCUCAGCUUAUCUCCAAAGGGGUUCUACUCUUUACUGAUUUUAACUACUGAAUUCAAAAAUGUUCUGCUGUUUACUUACUGUAACUACUGAUUUAAAUAAUGUUUUACUGUUUACUUACUGUAACUACUGAAUUCAAUAAUUUUCUACUGUUUACUUACUCUAACUACUGAAUUCAAUAAAGUUCUACUGUUUACUGACUUUAACAACUGAAUUCAGUAAUGUUCUGCUGUUUACUUACUGUAAUGACUGAAUCCAAUGAUGUUCUACUGUUUACUGAUUGUAACUACUGAAUUCAAUAAUGUUCAACUGUUUAUUUACUGUAACUACUGAAUGCAAUAAUGUUCUACUAUUUACUGAUUGUAACUACUGAAUUCAAUCAUGUUCUACUGUUUACUGACUUUAACAACUGAAUUCAGUAAUGUUCUGCUGUUAACAGAAUGUAACGACUGAAUUCAAUAAUGUUCUACUGUUUACUUACUGUAACUACUGAAUUAAAUAAUGUUCUACUGUUAA